This 85-nucleotide transfer RNA is filed under the name bacterium. Its description in RNAcentral is "tRNA-Leu". It matches the Rfam family "tRNA". Rfam says of the family: Transfer RNA (tRNA) molecules are approximately 80 nucleotides in length. Their secondary structure includes four short double-helical elements and three loops (D, anti-codon, and T loops). The record is from RNAcentral.
GCGAGGAUGGCAGAGUUGGCAGACGCGCCAGACUUAGGAUCUGGUGGGGCAACCUGUGCGGGUUCGAGUCUCGAUCCUCGCACCA